UACGGAGGGUGCGAGCGUUGUCCGGAAUCACUGGGCGUAAAGGGCUCGUAGGCGGCCAACUAAGUCAGACGUGAAAUCCCUCGGCUUAACCGGGGAACUGCGUCUGAUACUGGAUGGCUUGAGGUUGGGAGAGGGAUGCGGAAUUCCAGGUGUAGCGGUGAAAUGCGUAGAUAUCUGGAGGAACACCGGUGGCGAAGGCGGCAUCCUGGACCAAUUCUGACGCUGAGUGAGCGAAAGCCAGGGGAGCAAACGGG
RNAcentral lists this ribosomal RNA (254 nucleotides) under uncultured bacterium. Its description in RNAcentral is "partial 16S ribosomal RNA". It matches the Rfam family "Bacterial small subunit ribosomal RNA", at positions 524 to 776 of the family's 1533-position model. The record is from RNAcentral.